ACUACCACAUAAGAUGGAAGCAGGAGAGCUCACCUCUGUCCUCUUGUUUGAAAUUAACCUGUGGAAUGUUUGCUUUGUUGUUGCAUUUUAAGGAGAAUAGAGUCUUGAAGUUAAUAAUCCAUUGCUGCUCUCUAAAUCUGCAUAAAGAUCUCUAAUCCUACUUUGGCAAGAACCACCGCUCACUCUCCUCUUCCAAGCUGUGAGCCCUUCCACAGCAAUGAGGGCAGAGGGGCUUGGAGAGACCAAAGGGUAAGAAGAGACAAGGGAGUCGAAAGCACCGCCAUCUUCAGCAGAGUCCAGGGAAGAGAAACACAAGGCCCAUGACUGCAUCAUUUGUAGAGAAACCAUGAAGAAAGAGCUUUGCUUUGCAUUUAAAUACACAAUUCACUGGACAUGUUGUCUUGAGGACAAAAAUAAAGUGUUG
Mastomys coucha (southern multimammate mouse) is the source of this 424-nucleotide long non-coding RNA. RefSeq lists it as uncharacterized. The record is from RefSeq and is a predicted model, not a curated record. NCBI's taxonomy places the organism in Eukaryota, Metazoa, Chordata, Mammalia, Rodentia, Muridae. The transcript is spliced from 2 exons.